UACGAAGGGGGCUAGCGUUGCUCGGAAUCACUGGGCGUAAAGCGCACGUAGGCGGGUCCUUAAGUCAGGGGCGAAAUCCCGGAGCUCAACUCCGGAACUGCCUUUGAUACUGGGAAUCUUCGAGUCCGGGAGAGGUGAGUGGAACUGCGAGUGUAGAGGUGAAAUUCGUAGAUAUUCGCAAGAACACCAGUGGCGAAGGCGGCUCACUGGCCCGGUACUGACGCUGAGGUGCGAAAGCGUGGGGAGCAAACAGG
This 254-nucleotide ribosomal RNA is filed under the name uncultured bacterium. Its description in RNAcentral is "partial 16S ribosomal RNA". It matches the Rfam family "Bacterial small subunit ribosomal RNA", at positions 524 to 776 of the family's 1533-position model. The record is from RNAcentral.